UCUUUCCUUACAUGUAACCGUAAAUCAUUAGUUACGACAAAACCUUUGAUUCUCUGCAUGCCCAACACGUGUUUCUACCUGCUUAGCAGUCUUCCCCAAUUCACUUGCAAUCUGCUAAGUCAUGUCGGGUUUGUAUAAUUCCAACUUCUCACCGGUGAGAGCUGCUUCUCCUCAGAUUAGAACCAACCCAGAAGUGGAUAGUCAGUACCUAACGGAGUUGCUGGCAGAGCAUCAGAAGCUUGGUCCUUUCAUGCAAGUACUUCCCAUAUGCACUCGUCUCUUGAAUCAAGGUUUGUUUUUGUGGAUCUGUCUUUCUUCUUUCUCGACAGAUCGCCCCUAUUAAUUCUUCUUACCUUUACCCCCUUU
Non-coding RNA from Cajanus cajan (pigeon pea), 366 nucleotides. The record is from RefSeq and is a predicted model, not a curated record. Lineage: Eukaryota; Viridiplantae; Streptophyta; Magnoliopsida; Fabales; Fabaceae.